AUUACAAAUAUAAAGCGUUUGAACUCCAUAAAAUGUCAAUGGAAGAUUUGUUAAAUAUUGUCGAAACCGGAACUACGAAAAUGAAUAACAGGAAUGAAGUGCUUUUUUCAGUUCACGUCUUUCAUGAACUUACCCAAAUUAUUACAUAACUGGACUCGAUUUCAUAUUCUAAUUAUAUACGUGUAUGUAUUCCUAUUCGAAAAAAAUUAUUUAUGGUUAGAAGUGAACCAGAAACUGAGGCAUUCAUAUUGAAAUUUUCGCUAAAGAAAUUUGAGCAACGAAGAAGUGACUAACACAUACAAUAAGGGAGUUCACAAAAUUUUAGUCGGUCGAUCGGUUAAAAUCGAGACGAGAAAACGCAAGAUAACCAACGCAAACAGAGAUCCGCCUCGAGAUUCGAGCUUUCUAAGUAGUUUCGAAGAUUCACGACCGGAGAUUUUUCCGUAAAGGAUGAGCUCCGAGAAGGUCGACCAAAAUCUUCCACUGAUGACGUCACUGUAACCUUGGUGAGCACCAAAAUUGACGACGAACGCAAGAAAUGGUUGCUAAUGAAUAUUAAACAAUCAUGUGGGAUACGUGAAGAAUUUUAAAUGAGGUCCAAGAAGAAACUCGAGUGCAUCUGGCCGAACUUUUCCUAAACCAAUUCGAUUAUGGUCAGUCUAUCAACUCUAGUAAAGUCGCUACUGGUGACGAAUCUUGGUUCUAUAAAUACAAUCGAGAAACCAAACAGCAGUCCAUGGUACGGAGUCCAAAAUGAGCCUAUCCACCCGUAAAAUCUUAGC
Molecule: long non-coding RNA, 782 nt
Organism: Ceratitis capitata (Mediterranean fruit fly)
Lineage: Eukaryota; Metazoa; Arthropoda; Insecta; Diptera; Tephritidae
Exons: 3
Source: RefSeq, a predicted model, not a curated record